CUGAUGGUGCAAAGACAGCCUGUGGCCAGGAGAAGCGGGGCAAGGGUCUCCAAGGAGUGCACAGGCCAGGAGCGCGCGCGGGGCUGGGGCACGUGCUUUCCCCAGUUUCCAGAUCCACCUCAAAUUGUUAAUGAAACUCCCAGUUGCCCUCCAAGCUUUAUCGCCUCUGGAAGAGGGAGGCCUGAUUUGAAUUACUUCAACUGGAAUUCCAUCACCUCCACUAGCUUUGUUCGUAGUGAUGCUUCCUAAGGCCCACUUGACUUCACGUUCCGGUUCUAGAGUACAUCAUGAGAAACGCUGGGCUGGAAAAAGCACAAGCUGGAAUCAAGAUUGCCAGCAGAAAUAUCAAUAACCUCAGAUAUGCAGAUGACAUCACCUUUAUGGCAGAAAGUGAAGAGGAACUAAAAAGCCUCUUGAUGAAAGUGAAAGUGGAGAGUGAAAAAGUUGGCUUAAAGCUCAACAUUCAGAAAACUAAGAUCAUGGCAUCUGGUCCCAUCACUUCAUGGGAAAUAGAUGGGGAAGCAGUGG
Bos taurus (domestic cattle) is the source of this 528-nucleotide long non-coding RNA. Lineage: Eukaryota; Metazoa; Chordata; Mammalia; Artiodactyla; Bovidae. The record is from Ensembl.